Molecule: ribosomal RNA, 465 nt
Filed under: uncultured bacterium
Lineage: Bacteria
Description: bacterial SSU rRNA
Rfam family: Bacterial small subunit ribosomal RNA
Source: RNAcentral
CGCUGGCGGCACGCUUAACACAUGCAAGUCGAACGAGCGAAAGGUGCUUGCACCUCUAGCUAGUGGCGGACGGGUGAGUAACACGUGAGCAAUCUGCCUUUCGGUGGGGAUACCAAUUGGAAACGAUUGUAAUACCCCAUAACAUAACGAAGCCGCAUGACUUUGUUAUCAAAGAUUUAUUGCCGGAAGAUGAGCUCGCGUCUGAUUAGGUAGUUGGUGAGGUAACGGCUCACCAAGCCGACGAUCAGUAGCCGGACUGAGAGGUUGAACGGCCACAUUGGGACUGAGACACGGCCCAGACUCCUACGGGAGGCAGCAGUGGGGAAUAUUGCACAAUGGGCGAAAGCCUGAUGCAGCGAUGCCGCGUGAGGGAAGAAGGUUUUAGGAUUGUAAACCUCUGUCUUCGGGGACGAUAAUGACGGUACCCGAGGAGGAAGCUCCGGCUAACUACGUGCCAGCAGCGGC